This 253-nucleotide ribosomal RNA is filed under the name uncultured bacterium. RNAcentral describes it as "partial 16S ribosomal RNA". It matches the Rfam family "Bacterial small subunit ribosomal RNA", at positions 524 to 776 of the family's 1533-position model. The record is from RNAcentral.
UACGUAGGUGGCAAGCGUUAUCCGGAUUUACUGGGUGUAAAGGGCGUGUAGGCGGGACUGCGAGUCAGAUGUGAAAACCACGGGCUCAACCUGUGGCCUGCAUUUGAAACUGUAGUUCUUGAGUACUGGAGAGGCAGACGGAAUUCCUAGUGUAGCGGUGAAAUGCGUAGAUAUUAGGAGGAACACCAGUGGCGAAGGCGGUCUGCUGGACAGCAACUGACGCUGAGGCGCGAAAGCGUGGGGAGCAAACAGG